This 395-nucleotide unclassified non-coding RNA is filed under the name Yamadazyma sp. BC-3-1. RNAcentral's name for it is "sequence contains ITS1, 5.8S rRNA gene, ITS2". The stretch from base 86 to 239 matches the Rfam family "5.8S ribosomal RNA". The record is from RNAcentral. Lineage: Eukaryota; Fungi; Ascomycota; Pichiomycetes; Serinales; Debaryomycetaceae.
AAGGUGCGCGGUCACACACAUGGGUGCUUUUGGAAUGAGCGAAACACGGAAACGUGGUUACUGGGGUUAGAAGAGAUAAGAUCAAAACUUUCAACAACGGAUCUCUUGGUUCUCGCAUCGAUGAAGAACGCAGCGAAAUGCGAUAAGUAGUAUGAAUUGCAGAUUUUCGUGAAUCAUCGAAUCUUUGAACGCACAUUGCGCCCCGUGGCAUUCCGCGGGGCAUGCCUGUUUGAGCGUCAUUUCUCCCUCGAGCCCUAGGGCUUGGUGUUGGGCGGAAGCGUUUCCGCCUGAAAAACGUCGGUGGGGCGACACGGUUGCCAAUGUAUUAGGUUAGUCCAACUCGUUGAAGACCGCGAGCCCGCCAGGACCGCAAGUUUGACCUCAAAUCAGGUAGG